This 126-nucleotide unclassified non-coding RNA is filed under the name uncultured Ascomycota. Its description in RNAcentral is "sequence contains ITS2". Lineage: Eukaryota; Fungi; Ascomycota. The record is from RNAcentral.
CUGCCCUCAGCCGUGCGCUGGUGUUGGGGGCCAGCGGCCCCUGAAAGAAAUGGCUGGCGGCGCGCGGCCUCUGCGCAGCAAUCUCGCUUGGAGAACCUCGCUUAGGGGCGCGGCGCCACGCAACCA